This 237-nucleotide ribosomal RNA is filed under the name Triticum aestivum (bread wheat). RNAcentral describes it as "partial small subunit ribosomal RNA". The record is from RNAcentral. Lineage: Eukaryota; Viridiplantae; Streptophyta; Magnoliopsida; Poales; Poaceae.
AUGCCUCUGGUGGAGAGAUACUCUAACAAGAUGAAGGGUUGGAAACCAAAGCUCUUGCCGGCUGCGGGGCGGCUCACUCUUGUCAAUUCGGUGCUUAUGGCGUUGCCCAUCCAUCUAAUGGCAGUGCUACCAUUGCCUGUAUGGGCUAUCAAGAUCAUUAAUAGGAAGUGUCGAGGCUUCAUUUGGAAGGGAGAGGAAGAAGUGAGUGGAGGGCAUUGCCUAGUCCCCUGGAGAUAG